GGCAUUGGUGCAUGCUUGGCGGCCGCCACAAUGGCAGCCGCUCGCUCAUACGGAGGCUCGAAAGGGCCAAAAAGGCUUUACAUAACGGCCGCAGCAGUGAUGAGGAAGGCCGGCGGGGGGAGAGGGAACCCGCGUGGGGACACACACACACACCCGCGGCUUCAGCAAGCCCCCUGAAGGGGCUAAAGGGAGAAAACAGUCCAAAGUGUGGGAGAAAAUUAGCUCUGUGUCUGGAGGGGUAAACAUCCUGCCGUCAGCACUUUCCCUCCCCUGGAGGGGAGGGCGCUCCUCGGGUCUGUGUAGGCUCUGCCACUUCUCUAUGGACACCAAGCAAAGCUACAUCGACUGAAAUGACUCUGCAGUAUUGUGGAGGCUUUAUUGUUUAUUUUUCCUGGUGGCAGUGUGUGUAAAAGUUCAAUAAAGCCUAUGAAACUC
This is a long non-coding RNA of Hemicordylus capensis (graceful crag lizard), 435 nucleotides long. RefSeq lists it as uncharacterized. The transcript has 3 exons. The record is from RefSeq and is a predicted model, not a curated record. NCBI's taxonomy places the organism in Eukaryota, Metazoa, Chordata, Lepidosauria, Squamata, Cordylidae.